UUUUGCCAAAGCUGAUUCCACUUGUUCAAAUGUUUGUUUUGGGUUCUUAUGUUUGAAUUCUGAAUUUUUUUAAGACCUAUAGGGAAUUGAAUAUUUGAGGGCUUGCAUCUUUUUUCUUUUGUUCUAAACUUGGCAAGUUGGUAAAUACAUAGUACUUUUAGAUUAAAAAAUGUCUUCUCCAAGCAAGAGCUGCGUCAUCACUACCUAAGGUACUAAAUUUGUAUCUUUUAAUUUUUAAUUUUUGCAAGGUGGGUUUUUAUUUUAUUUUUAUUCUCUCUUAUGUUCUUGGGUUUGAUGAUGGCAAAUACCUGUUAGUUUAUGUGAUGCUGCGUAGUUUGAUGUUGGAUAUCCUAUGAAUGGUGUUGCUUAGUCACAUAAAAUUGUGUAUGUGGAAUCAUAGAGUAUGAUUACUGUUGCUUUGUUGCAUAAAUAUUAGUUUGAAAUGACUUGGCUGUAUUGAUUGCCAUAUUCUCAUGAGAUCCGUGGUUGGUCCUUGGAAAACUUACUUGUUCAUGACUUAUGCAAUAUAUGAUUUGGAAGGAUUGCAAUUCUUGAUCUGGUCUUGAUAGAUAGCAUUACCAUUGCUUGAUUUUGUUGGUAGUACGAGCUCGUUUGGUAAAGAAUACCAUUGUGGAAUUGUGCACUCCCAAGGGCAGCCCUACGAUUUCCAUUAGGCGUGUUUUUUUCACUUGGUUUGGUAAGAUAUUGUUGAGUAGCUUUUGAAUUACUGUCUCAUUUUCUCCAUUGCUUCUACGGGACCUUUCAAGCUUAAUGGUGUUCCUCUUAGACAUGUAAAUCAAUCUUAUUUGAUUGAUACUUCGACCAAGGUGGACAUCUCUGGCGUCAAUGUUGAAAAGUUUUUUUUUUUGGAACUGGACAAUGUUGAAAAGUUUGAUGACAAGUAUUUUGCAAAGCAAGUCGAGAAGAAGAAAAAGAAGGGAGAAGGCGAGUUCUUUGAGGCAAAGAAAGACAUUUGCUUAUAAUCCUUUACUAAAAUUGUGAAAAAGGCAUUAAAUUUUUGUUGUUUUUUUGGACUUAUUUAGUUUAAAUAUAUUUUUGCACUUAUUUGGCUUAGAUUUGUUUGUUAUUACAUCAAGCUGCCUUCUUUAGUUAAAUUCUUUGGCCUGUACUAUAUUUUAGAAUCUUGGCAAACGGGGCCUCAUAAUUGUGUUGAAUCUUUCAGUGCAUAUCUCCUGAAUAGGUUUUGAACAGAUUCGGAACAGAUUAUAUUUGGUUUUGAACAGGUUCUGAAGAGGUUAAUUUCAGAUUUUGAACAGAUUCUGAACAGAUUUUGAACAGGUUCUGAAGAGGUUAAUUUCAGAUUUUGAACAGAUUCUGAACAGGUUUUGAAUAGGUUCUGAACAGGUUAAU
Camellia sinensis is the source of this 1371-nucleotide non-coding RNA. The record is from RefSeq and is a predicted model, not a curated record. Lineage: Eukaryota; Viridiplantae; Streptophyta; Magnoliopsida; Ericales; Theaceae.